RNAcentral lists this ribosomal RNA (494 nucleotides) under uncultured bacterium. RNAcentral describes it as "bacterial SSU rRNA". It matches the Rfam family "Bacterial small subunit ribosomal RNA", at positions 29 to 524 of the family's 1533-position model. The record is from RNAcentral.
AUUAAACGCUGGCGGCAUGCCUUACACAUGCAAGUCGAACGGCAGCACGGGGGCAACCUUGGUGGCGAGUGGCGAACGGGUGAGUAAAGCAUCGGAACGUGCCCUGGAGUGGGGGAUAACGUAGCGAAAGUUACGCUAAUACCGCAUAUUCUGUGAGCAGGAAAGCAGGGGAUCGCAAGACCUUGCGCUCUGGGAGCGGCCGAUGUCGGAUUAGCUAGUUGGUGGGGUAAAGGCCUACCAAGGCGACGAUCCGUAGCGGGUCUGAGAGGAUGAUCCGCCACACUGGAACUGAGACACGGUCCAGACUCCUACGGGAGGCAGCAGUGAGGAAUAUUGGUCAAUGGGAGCAAUCCUGAACCAGCAAUGCCGCGUGUGGGAUGACAGGGCUUCGCCUUGUAAACCACUGUCGGACGGGACGAAAGGAGGCCUCGGGCCUCUGGGACGGUACCGUCAAAGGAAGGGUCGGCUAACUACGUGCCAGCAGCCGCGGUAAU